Molecule: ribosomal RNA, 481 nt
Filed under: uncultured bacterium
Lineage: Bacteria
Description: bacterial SSU rRNA
Rfam family: Bacterial small subunit ribosomal RNA
Source: RNAcentral
CUACGUGCCAGCAGCCGCGGUAAUACGGAAGGUUCGGGCGUUAUCCGGAUUUAUUGGGUUUAAAGGGAGCGUAGGCCGGAGAUUAAGUGUGUUGUGAAAUGUAGACGCUCAACGUCUGACUUGCAGCGCAUACUGGUUUCCUUGAGUACGCACAACGUUGGCGGAAUUCGUCGUGUAGCGGUGAAAUGCUUAGAUAUGACGAAGAACUCCGAUUGCGAAGGCAGCUGACGGGAGCGCCACUGACGCUUAAGCUCGAAGGUGCGGGUAUCGAACAGGAUUAGAUACCCUGGUAGUCCGCACAGUAAACGAUGGAUGCCCGCUGUUGGUACCUGGUAUCAGCGGCUAAGCGAAAGCAUUAAGCAUCCCACCUGGGGAGUACGCCGGCAACGGUGAAACUCAAAGGAAUUGACGGGGGCCCGCACAAGCGGAGGAACAUGUGGUUUAAUUCGAUGAUACGCGAGGAACCUUACCCGGGCUUGAA